Molecule: long non-coding RNA, 1098 nt
Organism: Cryptotermes secundus
Lineage: Eukaryota; Metazoa; Arthropoda; Insecta; Blattodea; Kalotermitidae
Exons: 2
Source: RefSeq, a predicted model, not a curated record
GUUUACCAACGAAAUGAGCAAAACUGUGCGCAUAGGUGUACGAAAUGAGCCAACGAGGCCAACGAAGCUAUCUUCCGUGUCCUGCGGUGUGAUGUUUGGCGGGAAGGUUUGCAGAUUAGGGUCUGUUUCAUAGGGAUGAAUUUUUAUAGCUUUGAAUAUUACGACAUGUACGUUAGUAAAUACAACGUUGUGCCCCAUAUUAAUGUGCUGAUAUUAGUUACGUCAGUGUGCACCUACGAAGCCUCGGACACAUUCAAAAUGUUGAGAUUUUUGAGUCGGAGAAGAGGACGUAAUGCACAAAAAACUUCAACACAAGUCAAAUCUUGAUCACAACGGAUCAUCCCUAAUAAACAUGUCGUUCGGUGUAGGGUUAUACUUUUCUAGAUGGCACCGAUCUGUCCAUAGAUUUAUCUGCAUGAAUUUGAUGAGCAUUUGGUGCCAGUUGUCUGUGAAUAUCAGAAACCUCUUCAGGACGUACAUUCCGUUGCAUCUGCACUCAAGAUGUACUUCCUUGAACUUCCAAACCCUCUGUGCACAUAUCAGCUCUACCGCGCCUUUGUUGAUUUUGUUGAUGCCUUUCAGCACAGUCCCGAAGUGGGUUGCAGACUUUUCCACAUGCAGCAUGCUGUGCAGAAACUGCCACUUCCACACUAGAGGUAUUUUUGGUGAUGCUUGUUAUUGAAUAAAGAAAUUUGUGUCAUGGACAAGUAAUUUACAUAGCUCACCUCUGUUAAUUGUAUUGUACCCGUUUCACUUGUUAAAGAAAUAUUUUAGGAAACUGGUUGUCAGCAAUUCAGCCUAAUGCCAUCAGUUCAAAAUAACUGUGUUGCAAACCAUAAUAUUUGGUCAGGUCACAUUUCCUCUUUGAAAUCUUGUCAGGCAACUUCCUUAUUUGGCUAUGCUAUACUUUUCAGUUGCUACUUCAGCAAGACUUAGGUGAGUGUACAAGACAUGGAAAUUUAAAGCAGAGAACGUGUUUCUAAAAUAUUAUGGUGUAAUGUUCAAUUUAUGAGUUUGUAUGGGGUAUUUAAUGUGAUUAUUAGAAUAUACCAUACUUUUCAAAGUGUAUGCAAUAAAAUAAUUUGUGUGGGGAUUGUA